UAGUACCUCCUGAACAGGGGUAACUCGGGAUCGAACGUUAUAUAUUCUAAUGCCCAGCCACUCAAACUGUAACAUGCUCUAAUGCUCUGUAUUUAUAUAGCUCCUUUCUAGUCUUUGACCACUCAAAGCCCUUUUAUUCUACAUCACACUUACCCAUUCACACACUGAGUGCUUGAACAAAAACUAACAUUCACUAGGACACUACAAAAUGCUUCCUGGAGGAUUGAACCGCUGAUCUUCAGAUUUACAGGCAACCUCCUCUAUCUCCUGAGCCACAACCUCCCUUUCAGGACGCCAGAGGUUGUGAGUUCAAUCCACAUCUUGGAGAAUGUGGGUGUUUUUAUAGUUUCACAUAAUCCAUUACCAUGGCAACGAGAUUGUGGAUCAAGCAUACAAGGUCUACAUGAUUGGUAUCUUUUCACACUACCUCUGCUGCCUCGUGCCCCCUCGCCUUGCCAGCCACACUCCUGGAUCCACAAGCUCUCUAGCUUCCCAGCCUGGCCUUCCCAACCCUUGCCUAGUUAUUGUUUUUGUUCUCAAGAAUAAAACUUUUUUCCAUA
Micropterus dolomieu (smallmouth bass) is the source of this 560-nucleotide long non-coding RNA. RefSeq lists it as uncharacterized. Lineage: Eukaryota; Metazoa; Chordata; Actinopteri; Centrarchiformes; Centrarchidae. The transcript is spliced from 3 exons. The record is from RefSeq and is a predicted model, not a curated record.